UGCGCGGGUUGGGGAUGCGUACGAUUAGCUUGCCGGCGGGGUGACGGCCCACCGGGGCGACGAUCGUUAGGGGUUCUGAGAGGAAGGUCCCCCACACUGGUACUGAGACACGGACCAGACUCCUACGGGAGGCAGCAGUGAGGAAUAUUGGUCAAUGGGCGGAAGCCUGAACCAGCCAAGUAGCGUGCAGGAUGACGGCCCUACGGGUUGUAAACUGCUUUUAUGCGGGGAUAACCGCCGGGACGCGUCCCGGCCUGCAGGUACCGCAUGAAUAAGGACCGGCUAAUUCCGUGCCAGCAGCCGCGGUAAUACGGAAGGUCCGGGCGUUAUCCGGAUUUAUCGGGUUUAAAGGGUGCGCAGGCGGGAUGUCAAGUCAGCCGUAAAAUUUCCGGGCCCAACCCGGUCGUGCGGUUGAAACUGGCGUCCUUGAGUGCGGCGGAGGGAGCCGGAAUUCGUGGUGUAGCGGUGAAAUGCAUAGAUAUCACGAGGAACUCCGAUUGCGAAGGCAGGCUCCCGUGCCGCCACUGACGCUCAUGCACGAAGGCGCGGGUAUCAAACAGGAUUAGAUACCCUGGUAGUC
Molecule: ribosomal RNA, 580 nt
Filed under: uncultured rumen bacterium
Lineage: Bacteria
Description: bacterial SSU rRNA
Rfam family: Bacterial small subunit ribosomal RNA
Source: RNAcentral